Molecule: transfer RNA, 73 nt
Filed under: Kwoniella dejecticola CBS 10117
Lineage: Eukaryota; Fungi; Basidiomycota; Tremellomycetes; Tremellales; Cryptococcaceae
Also listed under: 1 other name
Description: tRNA-Trp (CCA) (tRNA-Trp-CCA-2-1)
Rfam family: tRNA
About the family: Transfer RNA (tRNA) molecules are approximately 80 nucleotides in length. Their secondary structure includes four short double-helical elements and three loops (D, anti-codon, and T loops). Further hydrogen bonds mediate the characteristic L-shaped molecular structure. tRNAs have two regions of fundamental functional importance: the anti-codon, which is responsible for specific mRNA codon recognition, and the 3' end, to which the tRNAs corresponding amino acid is attached (by aminoacyl-tRNA synthetases). tRNAs cope with the degeneracy of the genetic code in two manners: having more than one tRNA (with a specific anti-codon) for a particular amino acid; and 'wobble' base-pairing, i.e. permitting non-standard base-pairing at the 3rd anti-codon position.
Source: RNAcentral
GGAGCUGUAGUUCAAUUGGUAGAAUAGUAGAUUCCAAAUCUAUUGGUCGCAAGUUCGAUUCCUGUCAGCUUCA